This 95-nucleotide non-coding RNA is filed under the name human gut metagenome. Its description in RNAcentral is "ZMP/ZTP riboswitch". It matches the Rfam family "ZMP/ZTP riboswitch aptamer (pfl RNA motif)". From Rfam's summary of the family: Previously known as pfl RNA. ZMP is also known as AICAR. The record is from RNAcentral.
UUUUUCGCGACUGACGGAUUUUUUGGUGGAGCAACCACCGGGAAGCGAAAAAUUGUAGCCGGUUUCCGCCGGUUUGCCGACCGUCUGGGCAAUCC